Scophthalmus maximus (turbot) is the source of this 1786-nucleotide long non-coding RNA. RefSeq lists it as uncharacterized. NCBI's taxonomy places the organism in Eukaryota, Metazoa, Chordata, Actinopteri, Pleuronectiformes, Scophthalmidae. The transcript is spliced from 10 exons. The record is from RefSeq and is a predicted model, not a curated record.
CCUCUUGUGGGUGCUAACUGCUAACGCUAACUGUCUGCUGACACACUUGCUGUCCUCUCAUGAUGCUAAAUGCUAACGCUAACUGCCUGCUGACACACCUGCCAUCCUCUCGUGAUUCAUAUCGACAUAAGUGUCAUAUUCGACAGCGAUUGGUUUUCUGUAUUUGUGACGAACCAAAUCUCGCUUGAACAGGAUUCGUUUGAAUUUCAAAUUGCAGAGUGAAACACAGAAGUGGUCGUACUUGUGUUUCUUGGGUUUGGUGUUGAUGUCUCCGAGGACGUUGAUGUCUGAGUAGUCGAUCCUGAACCUGCUGAGCAGCGUCGCCAUCCUGACGGGACAAUCACAGAUAUUGUAACUGCGGUGAGGUUGUGUUUUGUGUGUGUUGGUCGCCUCACACUCGGCGGUCGUGGUCGAUGCGGUUGAUCUUCCCGCCGAUGAAGACGCGGAUCCUGCAGUCGCCCCACUUGCUCCUGUUGGUCAGCAGAUGAUUCAUUCAGCUUGGUUAGAUGUAAGAGAUAAAAGAGACUUGCCUCCGUCAUCAAACAGCCACCAGACGUCGAUGGUUCCUUUGCCCUGUUUCUUCUUGAACUGCUGACUGGACUCUAACAGCCGCUGGUCAGCGAGGCUCAGAGGAGAUUUGGUCUCGGCUGCAGGUCACAACAAGAAGAAAACAUGACGCGACACGGACUAAGGUUAAACAAACCCUUGGACAUUCAUUCUCCGUCUCCUCCGCUGUCAGAUGUGAAGAUGGAUAUAACAACUCUUCUUCCCUUCCUGCCCUUCGUUACCUCUCAUGAUGAGCGGACUGCUCUGACUGCUGGUGGUUUUCGACGGACAGGAGUCCGAGUCCGAGUCUUUGGCCGGACUAACAGUGACCAGCACCUGCUGCUUGGUGUCGACUGGCGUCUUCUCGUGGGGCGACAGCAGAUCGUCUGCAGGGGGGACGAAGGACAGAUCAGCUCACACAGAAAAAGAUCUGGGCACCUUGUCCGUGGAUGUGAGAGACGUCGAGUCCGUCCUGCAGUCGCAGGAUCACGACUCCAAACUGCAGGUCGAAGGCGUCGCUGGAAUAUGAAGCGGAGGAAAUCAGUAAGAUGGAACUUUCUGGUUUCUCACCUGGAAGACUUUGGGUGCGCUGACCAACGACGCCAGAGCCGACGACAGAGUGGCCGAGAAGAUCCCUGCGGUGAUCAGAGGCCCGAAGCCCGACACCAGACCCAUCACCUGGACGACAACCAACACACAAGUCUCGUCUCAGGACAUUCUGAUGAAGAGCAUCACGCCCCAUAUGUUCAGCAUGCAGCGGAUCUGCAGUACAACACACAAACACAUGGUUCAUCCUACAGGGACCAGCCUGGGUCCUCAGAUGGGAGAGGCUUCCUGAUCAGCUGUAAACACCUCAGCAUCUAUGAAAGCAUCACGUGACACUGACCAGGACUCCUUUCACCCAACCGAACUUGAUGGUUCCUCCCUUGGCCUCCUUCGCCGCCAACGCCGCCGCCGCCUGCUCAGCGGCCGACGGCUCGUCUCCAUUGGCCAGACCGUCUUCAAACGGCUCCUGGCGAGACGGAAGCAGAUGAUGUGACGAUUCUGAAACCGCGAUACAAACUUCCACGAUCUCAUAUCGUGACUCCUCCUCGUCCCGCCGCAGCUCCGACAGCGACGGUCUGCUCAGCUUCUCCCCCAAAGGCGCAGCCGUCUGCCGGUAGAACUCGAUGUUGGGCACCGCGUCGAUGGUGUUGUGACCGAACGUCCUCUGGUAGUAGGUGUUGGAGUGGUCCGACAC